GGUGGCAUCUAUAAUGCAGUCGAGCGAGGGUCUUCGGACCCUAGCGGCGGACGGGUGAGUAACACGUAGGCAACCUGCCUCUCAGACCGGGAUAACAUAGGGAAACUUAUGCUAAUACCGAAUAGGUUUUUGGAUCGCAUGAUCUGAAAAGGAAAGAUGGCGUUUGCUAUCACUGGGAGAUGGGCCUGCGGCGCAUUAGCUAGUUGGUGGGGUAACGGCCUACCAAGGCGACGAUGCGUAGCCGACCUGAGAGGGUGACCGGCCACACUGGGACUGAGACACGGUCCAGGCUCCUACGGGAGGCAGCAGUAGGGAAUAUUCCACAAUGGACGAAAGUCUGAUGGAGCAACGCCGCGUGAACGAUGAAGGUCUUCGGAUUGUAAAGUUCUGUUGUCAGGGACGAAUAAGUACCGUUCGAACAGGGCGGUACCUUGACGGUACCUGACGAGAAAGCCACGGCUAACUACGUGCCAGCAGCCGCGGUAAUACGUAGGUGGCAAGCGUUGUCCGGAAUUAUUGGGCGUAAAGCGCGCGCAGGCGGCUAUGUAAGUCUGGUGUUAUAGCCCGGGGCUCAACUCCGGUUCGCAUCGGAAACUGUGUAGCUUGAGUGCAGAAGAGGAAAGCGGUAUUCCACGUGUAGCGGUGAAAUGCGUAGAGAUGUGGAGGAACACCAGUGGCGAAGGCGGCUUUCUGGUCUGUACUGACGCUGAGCGCGAAAGCGUGGGGAGCAAACAGAUUAGAUACCCUGGUAGUCCACGCCGUAACGAUGAGUGCUAGGUGUUGGGGGGUUUCAUACCCUCGUGCCGCAGCUACGCAUAGCACCUCCGCCUGGGAGUACGCUCCACAGAGUGAACUCCAGAAUGGACUGGGUCCGCACAGCAUGGGACAUGUGUUAAUCCGAGC
This 903-nucleotide ribosomal RNA is filed under the name Brevibacillus gelatini. RNAcentral's name for it is "bacterial SSU rRNA". It matches the Rfam family "Bacterial small subunit ribosomal RNA", at positions 38 to 956 of the family's 1533-position model. Lineage: Bacteria; Bacillati; Bacillota; Bacilli; Caryophanales; Paenibacillaceae. The record is from RNAcentral.